UCAAAAACAUGUCUUAUUGAAGAUAAUUUUAAGUUUAACCUGCCCACUGAAAUUUUUAAAUGGCCGCAGUAUUUUGACUGUGCUAAGGUAGCAUAAUCAUUAGUUUCUUAAUUAGAAGCUGGAAUGAAUGGUUGGAUGAAAUAAUAAUUGUCUCUGUUAAAUUUUUUUUGAAUUUUAUUUUUUAGUUAAAAAGCUUAAAUUAAUUUGAAAGACGAGAAGACCCUAUAGAGUUUUAUAUAUUAUUUAAUUAAUUUUAUUGGUAUAAAAAUUUUUAAUUUAAUGAUAUAUUUGAUUGGGGUGAUUGAAAAAUUAAAUAAACUUUUUUUUAUAUUAAACAUGAAUUUAUGAAUAGUUGAUCCAUUAAUUGUGAUUAAAAGAUUAAAUUACCUUAGGGAUAACAGCGUAAUAUUAUCAAAGAGUUCUUAUCGAAGAUNAAGAUUGCGACCUCGAUGUUGGAUUAAAAUUAUUGUUGGUGUAGAAGUUAACAGUAUUAGGUCUGUUCGACCUUUAAAAUUUUACAUGAUCUGA
This 528-nucleotide ribosomal RNA is filed under the name Bruchidius mulunguensis. RNAcentral's name for it is "partial 16S ribosomal RNA". It matches the Rfam family "Bacterial large subunit ribosomal RNA", at positions 1807 to 2608 of the family's 2925-position model. The record is from RNAcentral. Lineage: Eukaryota; Metazoa; Arthropoda; Insecta; Coleoptera; Chrysomelidae.